RNAcentral lists this ribosomal RNA (236 nucleotides) under uncultured bacterium. RNAcentral's name for it is "partial 16S ribosomal RNA". It matches the Rfam family "Bacterial small subunit ribosomal RNA", at positions 99 to 334 of the family's 1533-position model. The record is from RNAcentral.
CGCACGGGUGAGUAACACGUAAGUAAUCUACCCUCGGGUGGGGAAUAACGUCCGGAAACGGACGCUAAUACCGCAUAAUGCAGCGGCACCGCAAGGUGACAGUUGUUAAAGAUUUAUUGCCUGGGGAGGAGCUUGCGGCAGAUUAGCUUGUUGGUAAGGUAACGGCUUACCAAGGCUACGAUCUGUAUCCGGUCUAAGAGGACGGUCGGACACACUGACACUGAAUAACGGGUCAG